Molecule: ribosomal RNA, 253 nt
Filed under: uncultured bacterium
Lineage: Bacteria
Description: partial 16S ribosomal RNA
Rfam family: Bacterial small subunit ribosomal RNA
Source: RNAcentral
UACGAAGGGUGCAAACGUUGCUCGGAAUUAUUGGGCGUAAAGCGCACGUAGGCGGACUUUUAAGUCCGUGGUGAAAUCUCCGGGCUCAACCCGGAAACUGCCAUGGAUACUAUUUGUCUUGAAUGUUGUUGAGGUGGGCGGAACGGGUCAUGUAGCGGUGAAAUGCAUAGAUAUGACCCGGAACACCGAUUGCGAAGGCAGCCCACUAAGCAAUGAUUGACGCUGAGGCACGAAAGCGUGGGGAUCAAACAGG